RNA transcript from Mus musculus (house mouse), 3976 nucleotides. It is a transcript of the gene named dynamin 1, with no coding region annotated. The transcript is spliced from 23 exons. The record is from RefSeq and is marked reviewed. Lineage: Eukaryota; Metazoa; Chordata; Mammalia; Rodentia; Muridae.
AGCGCUCCGCUCGGAUCCCCGAGGGGCGGGGGACCCGCGGCGCACGCAGUCGGGAUAUUCGGCUGCAGCCGCGAAGCCGGGGGCCAAGAGCCAGAGCAGGAGCGGCGGCCGGAUCGCAGCCCGCCGGGCCCGCCGCAACCAUGGGCAACCGCGGCAUGGAAGACCUCAUCCCGCUGGUUAACCGGUUACAGGACGCCUUCUCCGCCAUCGGCCAGAACGCGGACCUCGACCUGCCGCAGAUCGCCGUGGUAGGCGGCCAGAGCGCCGGCAAGAGCUCGGUGCUGGAGAAUUUCGUGGGCAGGGACUUCUUGCCCCGAGGAUCUGGCAUCGUCACCCGGCGUCCCCUGGUCCUGCAGCUGGUUAAUUCUACCACAGAAUAUGCCGAGUUCCUGCACUGCAAGGGGAAGAAAUUCACCGACUUCGAGGAGGUGCGCCUGGAGAUCGAGGCUGAGACCGAUCGAGUCACCGGCACCAACAAGGGCAUUUCGCCAGUGCCCAUCAACCUGCGGGUCUACUCGCCCCAUGUGCUGAACCUGACUCUAGUGGACCUGCCAGGAAUGACCAAGGUCCCAGUUGGGGACCAACCUCCUGAUAUCGAGUUCCAGAUCCGGGACAUGCUUAUGCAGUUCGUCACUAAGGAGAACUGCCUUAUCCUGGCUGUGUCCCCUGCCAACUCGGAUUUGGCCAACUCUGAUGCCCUCAAGAUCGCUAAGGAGGUGGACCCCCAGGGUCAGCGCACCAUUGGGGUCAUCACCAAGUUGGACCUGAUGGACGAGGGCACAGAUGCGCGGGACGUGCUAGAGAACAAGCUGCUCCCUUUGCGCAGAGGUUACAUCGGCGUGGUGAACCGGAGCCAGAAGGACAUAGACGGCAAGAAGGACAUCACAGCCGCCUUGGCUGCAGAGCGCAAAUUCUUCCUCUCUCACCCAUCCUACCGCCACUUGGCUGACCGCAUGGGCACACCCUACCUGCAGAAGGUCCUCAAUCAGCAAUUGACCAACCACAUCCGGGACACACUGCCGGGACUUCGGAACAAGCUGCAGAGCCAGCUGCUGUCCAUUGAGAAGGAGGUGGACGAGUACAAGAACUUCCGACCGGAUGACCCAGCGCGCAAGACCAAGGCCCUGCUGCAGAUGGUCCAGCAGUUUGCAGUGGACUUCGAGAAGCGCAUCGAGGGUUCUGGAGACCAGAUUGACACUUACGAGCUGUCAGGUGGAGCCCGCAUUAACCGGAUCUUCCAUGAACGCUUCCCCUUUGAGCUGGUUAAGAUGGAGUUUGAUGAGAAGGAACUGCGAAGGGAGAUCAGCUAUGCUAUCAAAAAUAUCCAUGGCAUCAGGACGGGCCUCUUCACACCUGACCUCGCUUUUGAAGCCACAGUGAAAAAGCAGGUGCAGAAGCUCAAAGAGCCCAGUAUCAAGUGUGUGGACAUGGUAGUCAGUGAACUCACGUCCACCAUCAGAAAGUGUAGUGAAAAGCUGCAGCAAUACCCGCGUCUGCGGGAGGAGAUGGAGCGAAUUGUGACCACCCACAUCCGGGAACGUGAGGGCCGCACCAAGGAGCAGGUCAUGCUUCUCAUCGACAUUGAGCUGGCUUACAUGAAUACCAACCACGAAGACUUCAUAGGCUUUGCCAAUGCUCAGCAGAGAAGCAACCAGAUGAACAAGAAGAAGACUUCAGGGAACCAGGAUGAGAUUCUGGUCAUUCGAAAGGGGUGGUUGACCAUCAACAACAUCGGCAUCAUGAAGGGAGGCUCCAAGGAGUACUGGUUUGUGCUGACUGCUGAGAAUCUGUCCUGGUACAAGGAUGAUGAGGAGAAAGAGAAGAAGUACAUGCUGUCUGUGGACAAUCUGAAGCUGCGUGAUGUGGAGAAGGGCUUCAUGUCAAGCAAGCAUAUUUUUGCCCUCUUCAACACAGAGCAGAGGAAUGUCUACAAGGAUUACCGGCAGCUGGAACUGGCCUGUGAGACACAGGAGGAGGUGGACAGUUGGAAGGCUUCCUUCCUGAGGGCUGGCGUGUACCCUGAGCGUGUUGGGGACAAAGAGAAAGCCAGUGAGACCGAGGAGAACGGCUCUGACAGCUUCAUGCACUCGAUGGACCCUCAGCUGGAGCGCCAGGUGGAGACCAUCCGGAACCUGGUAGACUCGUACAUGGCCAUUGUCAACAAGACUGUGCGGGACCUCAUGCCCAAGACCAUCAUGCACCUCAUGAUCAACAACACCAAGGAGUUUAUCUUCUCUGAGCUGCUGGCCAACCUGUACUCUUGCGGGGACCAGAACACACUGAUGGAAGAAUCGGCCGAGCAGGCUCAGCGGCGCGACGAGAUGCUGCGCAUGUACCACGCACUGAAGGAGGCGCUCAGUAUUAUCGGCGACAUCAACACGACCACCGUCAGCACGCCCAUGCCCCCGCCCGUGGACGACUCCUGGCUGCAGGUGCAGAGCGUACCGGCCGGACGCAGAUCGCCCACGUCCAGCCCCACGCCGCAGCGCCGAGCCCCCGCCGUGCCCCCAGCCCGGCCCGGAUCGCGGGGCCCUGCUCCUGGGCCUCCGCCUGCUGGAUCCGCCCUGGGGGGGGCGCCCCCCGUGCCCUCCAGGCCGGGGGCUUCCCCUGACCCCUUUGGCCCCCCUCCCCAGGUGCCCUCGCGCCCCAACCGCGCCCCGCCUGGGGUCCCCAGCCUAGGAGCAUGGCGACUAAAUUCACCACAGGGCAAGCAUGAGAAUCGCGCUGGCAAAGCCAGGCUCUGACUGGUGACUUUAGACAACUUAAGAGCCUUUGCCUUUCUGCCAGCGCCUGAGGGCUCGCAGGCAAGCAGGAAGGGCCCAGCCUCACCUACGAGACCUGCAGCCCCCCGACCAACGGAGGCUCCCCUCUUAGACUUAUAAGUCUGUGGCCGCAGGCAUCGGCUGCCUGCCUCCCAGCCUCCCCAGGGUCCCCUCAGAGGACUCCUGACUUUCUGACCACCUGAGGGGCCUCCAGCGCUCCCUCCAGCCAUCCCCUUUAGCUUCAAUCUCCUGGUUCAAGCACUUCUGGCCUCAUGGCUGUUACAUGGGACUCCCUGAGGCUUGGGGUGGCCCUGAGCCAGUGAGAUGAGAGACAGUGAGCAAAAAUGAGGGAGGCCCUGUGGUGCAUUGCCUGGGUGGUGUGUGAGAGGCCGUGUGUGUGGCAAGAGAGGGCCACCAGCCUCUACUCAGACUACCUGCUAGUUACGGCCCAGCACCCCAUCUUCCCUUUCAUUCAUCAACUGUGCAUCUCUUCCGGGAACCCUGCCCACAUCCACACCUGCCUCAGCCCCUGCCUCUGCUGGAGGUGGCUGCUCUUGCCUUACCAGCUCUCCUUCCUUUUCUCUCUUCCGUUCUCUCUCGGCUUUCUCUCCAACUGCCAGCCGAUCGGGUCAGGCAAGUCCGUCCCGUCCUGAGAGCCCCAGGCCCCCCUUCGACCUCUAACCAGAUCCCUCCUACUCCUCGGAGACCUCCCUUACCAAGCCUGCCUGGACAGCUGUUCUGUGACUUGACAGUGGCUCCCCCGGCCCCAAAGCGUCCUAUUCAUCAUCUGUGACUUAGUCUGUUGUAGUGGUGAGCUGACACAUCCAGAUGUGAUGUUGGUGAAAACUUGUGCCCCUCUGUGGUAUUGCUCCUGCGACAUUCUAUAAAUAUCUAUAAAUAUACCUAUAUAUACAUAUAUAUACAUAUAUAUGGCUGACACAGCCUCGCCUGUAGUGUCAGAAUCAACCACCAUGCUGUCCUUGUGGAGUCUUGUGGUCCAACAAGGGAACGCUGUCAUCCUGACAACCCCCCCUCCAGUGUACCACCUCCAGUGAGCCCCCCUGUCCUCCUGGCCUGUGAACAGCCAUCCCCUUGGCCAUCCCAACCCUGCAGCAAGGGGAUGCUGCAGCAGCAGCAGCUGUGCAGUUCUCUGGUAGCCACCAGUCUUGCUGUCUCUUGGCUGAGAAUAAAACCCAUUUCUGGAUCAUGGGGAA